CAAUGAAGGAAGCAUGAUAUGUGCACAUAAAUUGAAUUGGGUCUCUAGGCCUGCCCUUUUUGAUGCCAUUCGGCUUUGAUUUGAGGGUAUGAUUCCGCAGCAAAACA
This is a small nucleolar RNA of Rhododendron vialii, 107 nucleotides long. RefSeq annotates it as small nucleolar RNA snoR100. The transcript has a single exon. The record is from RefSeq and is a predicted model, not a curated record. Lineage: Eukaryota; Viridiplantae; Streptophyta; Magnoliopsida; Ericales; Ericaceae.